UACGUAGGGGGCUAGCGUUGUCCGGAUUUAUUGGGUUUAAAGGGUGCGUAGGUGGCCUUAUAAGUCAGCGGUGAAAGUCUGCAGCUUAACUGUAGAACUGCCAUUGAUACUGUAAGGCUUGAGUACUGAUGAGGUAGGCGGAAUUGAUAGUGUAGCGGUGAAAUGCAUAGAUAUUAUCAAGAACACCGAUUGCGAAGGCAGCUUACUAAGGAGUUACUGACACUGAGGCACGAAAGCGUGGGGAUCAAACAGG
RNAcentral lists this ribosomal RNA (253 nucleotides) under uncultured bacterium. RNAcentral describes it as "partial 16S ribosomal RNA". It matches the Rfam family "Bacterial small subunit ribosomal RNA", at positions 524 to 776 of the family's 1533-position model. The record is from RNAcentral.